This is a non-coding RNA of Cordylochernes scorpioides, 111 nucleotides long. Lineage: Eukaryota; Metazoa; Arthropoda; Arachnida; Pseudoscorpiones; Chernetidae. The record is from the annotation of a GenBank genome assembly.
ACGGUCAUAUUUUACGUUGACAACAUCGGUUCUCGUCUGAUCACUGAAGUUCGGCAACGUCGGUAAGUACUUGGGAGGGUGACCACCUGGGAACACCGGAUGCUGUAGGCG